This 468-nucleotide ribosomal RNA is filed under the name uncultured bacterium. Its description in RNAcentral is "partial 16S ribosomal RNA". It matches the Rfam family "Bacterial small subunit ribosomal RNA", at positions 28 to 507 of the family's 1533-position model. The record is from RNAcentral.
GACGAACGCUGGCGGCGUGCUUAACACAUGCAAGUCGAACGGAAAGGCCCUGCUUUUGUGGGGUGCUCGAGUGGCGAACGGGUGAGUAACACGUGAGUAACCUGCCCUUGACUUUGGGAUAACUUCAGGAAACUGGGGCUAAUACCGGAUAGGAGCUCCUGCUGCAUGGUGGGGGUUGGAAAGUUUCGGCGGUUGGGGAUGGACUCGCGGCUUAUCAGCUUGUUGGUGGGGUAGUGGCUUACCAAGGCUUUGACGGGUAGCCGGCCUGAGAGGGUGACCGGCCACAUUGGGACUGAGAUACGGCCCAGACUCUUACGGGAGGCAGCAGUGAGGAAUAUUGCACAAUGGGCGGAAGCCUGAUGCAGCAACGCCGCGUGCGGGAUGACGGCCUUCGGGUUGUAAACCGCUUUCGCCUGUGACGAAGCGUGAGUGACGGUAAUGGGUAAAGAAGCACCGGCUAACUACGUG